CCACAUUUUGCUUUGUUGCUCCCUAACAUUUUUGAAUAUCUGACAUUUUGUUCGCUAAUACAACAAACUUAUCAAUUCUUCUGCCACUCUUUCGUUUUCCCAUUUACAUCACUUUAAUAAAUAUGAUCAAUAUCACAACAGAAUUUCUCCGUCACUUUUCAAAAGACUCUGAUUAACAUCCCUCAAGGGCUCUGGGUAAUCAGCCUUAAAGGACACCUGUCACCUUAACGUUACGUGCAC
This is a non-coding RNA of Pelobates cultripes (western spadefoot toad), 240 nucleotides long. Lineage: Eukaryota; Metazoa; Chordata; Amphibia; Anura; Pelobatidae. The record is from the annotation of a GenBank genome assembly.